This is a long non-coding RNA of Pipistrellus kuhlii (Kuhl's pipistrelle), 2341 nucleotides long. RefSeq lists it as uncharacterized. The record is from RefSeq and is a predicted model, not a curated record. The transcript is spliced from 2 exons. Lineage: Eukaryota; Metazoa; Chordata; Mammalia; Chiroptera; Vespertilionidae.
CGCGGGCGCGGUGUGGGCGAGGGCGAGGGGGCGGCGCGGCCGGCGGGGAGGCCUGCGGGUGAUCUCACAAAACCUCGGUCUCCGCUUCCGCAUCGGAGAGAUGGGCUCACACGCGGACGUGCUCCCGGGUCCGCCAGCGGCUGGGCUGAGGGCCUGCGGGGCUCCUUCGCACAUGUUCCGUUUGUAGCGCCCCGAAAAGAUGCCGGCAGAGUGGCCUGCUGCUUCCGGUGGGCAGUUCCGUGCGUCGGGACUAGGCGGGUGUGUGCCGGGCUGCGGGGCGCCCUCCUGGUGCCCGUGCGGGAGCCCGGUGGCGGGUGGGCGGGCCUCUGGGGAAGGGCACCGUCCUGAAAGCCUCCCCAGACACCGCAGCCCUGUGGGACCAGGUGGAGCUCACUCCGAACCCGGCAGCCCGGCGGACCCUUCCUUACUGCCGCAGCCGGGGAGCCAGGUGGAGCCCGCCCUAAUCCCGGAGCCUGCCUCUGGGUCAGGUGGGGCCCUCCCUUAAUCCCGGAGCGGUGCCUUUUAAUCCUGCAGCGCUGGGAGGUAGGCCGGGCACUGCCCUCCCUGCUUUGUUGAUGAACUAGGCAGGACUACAAGUUAAUAGAAACGGAGAUUCCCAUUGCAGGUCUCGGCUGGGCGGCCACAUUCAGGAAUACACCGCAGCACGCGUUCUUUUUUAGAGAUUUUUUUUUUUUUUUUUUUUUUUUUAGAGAAUUAGGGGAGAAAGAGAGAAGCAUCCAUGUGAGAGCAAAGUACAACCCCCUAUCCGGGAUCAAGCCAGGAACCUGGGCCUGGACCCUGACCUGGAAUGGAACCGGCAACCUUUGCAUUAGACCUCUCCCAGCUGAAUGAACCGCAGUGGCCAGGGCAGCACGCUUUCAAGUCACAGCGCUCUGUGCAUGGGAAGUCAGAUAAAUUAGAGUUGUCAGAGCUGGCGAGGUCUGUCAUGCCACUGGGGAGCCAGCUUACAUUGUGGAGUUUGGGUCUUCAGAUGCCCAAGAGUUUUCUUUACUGUGAGCUCUUCAGGGACCCAGCCUUCCCAUCAGAGUAGAAGGGAGUGUGUGUGUGUGUACACCGUUAAGAUAAAUACUGUAUAGACUAGGUACUAAAUAAAAGACUGUAAACUUGGGGGCGUUAGGUCAGUAUUCAGUACACCUAACGAAGUAAGUGGUCAUUAAUCCAUGGAACAAUGCAUCUAACUCUAUAAGGAUAAGGAGCCAGAAAUUUCUCCGGAGUGAGUGCUCAGGGUGAAUCAGGGUCCUGGUGCCUGGUGGCUGCUGUUCUGCCCCACCCACACCAGCUUCUCCCCAGCACUUUCCCAGUUGUGUUCAUGGAGUACAUCCCCUCCCUGUUUACGCUGCCUGACGCUGGAUGCCCAGGAAAUGCUGGCUAAGGAGAAAACGCCAUGAGUCACUGACAGAAUGCUGACUUUGAGCGACAGACGUUAGCUCAGAGCUGGUGCUCUAAGGGAGCACUCCACACUUUGGGAGAUUCAUUUUUGGAGAGAACGUUAUGAAGAAAGACAAAAGUCUUCCUUUCAGGGCAUUGAAGAAGGAAAAGAAGUCUUAAUUGGAUGAUUACAUGUAAUUGGAAGCCCUGCUUGGGAUCUGUUGGAAGCUUUGCAUUGACCCCUUCUUAAAGGAAUUGAUUAACUAGGAACUACAGCGUUGUAGGAUUCACACUUUAAUUGGCUCUGUCGGGAGGGAACCAAGUGGUGGUGUAGGAUUGAUCACCCAGCCAGUUUUCCUCUCUCAGACCUGCAUCUCUGUAUUCUUGAUGCGGGAUGAUUUUGUGUUAAAGGGAUUUUGAACUAUGAAAGUAUUUUCCUUUAGCCAUCAUUAAUCUAAGGUCUUUCCUUUAAGCUAUAAGGUGUAUAAUUGUAAGGAAUUUAAUGCAAGUCUGUUUCACUACUUUUCACCAAGCUCCAAAAGUUAUGACACAGGGACAAGAUGGAAGGUCUCUGCUCAUGCUAUCCAUAGUCCCGGAACUGCCUGUUUUCUCUUCCUGUCACAUGCCCCUGAGUUCCUCUUGUAUUUUGAAAAUCUUUGUUGACUUAUAUUGAAAGGACAUUACAAAAUGAAGAAGUAACUGGGAGGCAGCCCGCCAUGUGGUUUCAUCCCCAAAAUGUCUUCGAGCACUAGAAUUCCCACCCCCUCCCCCAAACCUAGUGUCAUAGUGAAAACAGUUCAGCUGGUUGAGCCACAUUGAGCCCUUGUGGGUUGUUUUUAUUGAAAUGUCUAUUUACCUCUUGGCCCCAUUGAUUUGAGACCCUGUAGGGGCAGCCUGGCUAUUGGUCUAACUGCCCCAGGAGGCUGUGUACCUGCCUUUGUGAUGGAGAUAA